UAGAACAGAGAGUGCUAGAGUUAGAGGGUUGUCAACAAAUAGAUAAAAUAGAAUUAAAAGAGUCCUAGAGUUAGAGGGUCAAGUAAAUAGAUAGAUCAAAUAGAAUUAGAACAGAGUCCUAGAGUUAGAGGGUCAAGUCAACAAAUAAAUAAAAUAGAAUUAGAACAGAGUCCUAGAGUUAGAGGGUCAAGUCAACAAAUAGAUAAAAUAGAAUUAGAAUAGAGUGCUAGAGUUAGAGGGUCAAGUCAACAAAUAGAUAAAAUAGAAUUAGAACAGAGUCCUAGAGUUAGAGGGUCAAGUCAACAAAUAGAUAAAAUAGAAUUAGAACAGAGUCCUAGAGUUAGAGGGUCAAGUCAACAAAUAGAUAAAAUAGAAUUAGAAUAGAGUGCUAGAGUUAGGUCAAGUAAACAAAUAGUUAAAAUAGAAUUAGAAUAGAGUGCUAGAGUUAGAGGGUUGUCAACAAACAGAUAAAAUAGAAUUAGAACAGAGUGCUAGAGUUAGAGGGUCAAGUCAACAAAUAGAUAAAAUAGAAUUAGAACAGAGUGCUAGAGUUAGAGGGUCAAGUCAACAAAUAGAUAAAAUAGAAUUAGAACAGAGUCCUAGAGUUAGAGGGUCAAGUCAACAAAUAAAUAAAAUAGAAUUAGAACAGAGUCCUAGAGUUAGAGGGUCAAGUCAACAAAUAGAUAAAAUAGAAUUAGAAUAGAGUGCUAGAGUUAGAGGGUUGUCAACAAACAGAUAAAAUAGAAUUAGAACAGAGUGCUAGAGUUAGAGGGUCAAGUCAACAAAUAGAUAAAAUAGAAUUAGAACAGAGUCCUAGAGUUAGAGGGUCAAGUCAACAAAUAGAUAAAAUAGAAUUAGAAUAGAGUGCUAGAGUUAGGUCAAGUAAACAAAUAGUUAAAAUAGAAUUAGAAUAGAGUGCUAGAGUUAGAGGGUUGUCAACAAACAGAUAAAAUAGAAUUAGAACAGAGUGCUAGAGUUAGAGGGUCAAGUCAACAAAUAGAUAAAAUAGAAUUAGAACAGAGUCCUAGAGUUAGAGGGUCAAGUCAACAAAUAGAUAAAAUAGAAUUAGAAUAGAGUGCUAGAGUUAGGUCAAGUAAACAAAUAGUUAAAAUAGAAUUAGAAUAGAGUGCUAGAGUUAGAGGGUUGUCAACAAACAGAUAAAAUAGAAUUAGAACAGAGUGCUAGAGUUAGAGGGUCCAGUCAACAAAUAGAUAAAAUAGAAUUAGAACAGAGAGUGCUAGAGUUAGAGGGUCAAGUCAACAAAUAGAUAAAAUAGAAUUAGAACAGAGAGUGCUAGAGUUAGAGGGUCAAGUCAACAAAUAGAUAAAAUAGAAUUAGAACAGAGUCCUAGAGUUAGAGGGUCAAGUCAACAAAUAGAUAAAAUAGAAUUAGAACAGAGUCCUAGAGUUAGAGGGUCAAGUCAACAAAUAGAUAAAAUAGAAUUAGAAUAGAGUGCUAGAGUUAGGUCAAGUAAACAAAUAGUUAAAAUAGAAUUAGAAUAGAGAGUGCUAGAGUUAGAGGGUCAAGUCAACAGAUAAAAUAGAAUUAGAACAGAGAGUGCUAGAGUUAGAAGGUUAAGUCAA
Molecule: long non-coding RNA, 1583 nt
Organism: Carassius gibelio (silver crucian carp)
Lineage: Eukaryota; Metazoa; Chordata; Actinopteri; Cypriniformes; Cyprinidae
Exons: 3
Source: RefSeq, a predicted model, not a curated record